UCUGACAAAAUAGCUUCAAAAAUCACUUUUUCUUCUUCCCUAUUGCCGAUGAGCUUUUGUUUCACACCACAUCCCAUGCCCCAUGUGCUGUUGCUUGUUUUUUCAUGCACACACCACCCAAAGGCUCUCUUUCCCAUAUUAAAUAGGCCCUUAAUAUGAGUCCUCAAAGGACUUCUUUUCCUUUUCUUAUUUAUUUUGGUUUGAU
This 205-nucleotide long non-coding RNA is filed under the name Elaeis guineensis (African oil palm). RNAcentral's name for it is "long non-coding RNA (EGUI_LNC070829)". Lineage: Eukaryota; Viridiplantae; Streptophyta; Magnoliopsida; Arecales; Arecaceae. The record is from RNAcentral.